AGCAGUUUGCUAUCUACUGUGUGAACAGGCUCAAUCUCAUCUGACCUCGGAAGCUAAGCAAGGUCAGGCCUGGUUAGUACUUGGAUGGGAGGCCAAAAUAUCUUUUAAGACAAACUGGUC
Molecule: ribosomal RNA, 120 nt
Filed under: Microtus ochrogaster (prairie vole)
Lineage: Eukaryota; Metazoa; Chordata; Mammalia; Rodentia; Cricetidae
Source: RNAcentral